Molecule: long non-coding RNA, 1054 nt
Organism: Lycium ferocissimum
Lineage: Eukaryota; Viridiplantae; Streptophyta; Magnoliopsida; Solanales; Solanaceae
Exons: 2
Source: RefSeq, a predicted model, not a curated record
UUCAACAAAGCCGGCUAAAACAACAGCAAAACCAAACGAACCCAGCAGACUCCUAAUCCCUAGCGAAUCGAACCCACGCUGAAGCGAUCUCCCACGUGAUUUCCAAUGCUAACUACCAGUUCCGACUAAAUUCCUAACGGUUUUCACUCCUCGCAGCUUUGCUUCUCUAUUUAGGGCAAUGGUUUUAUUGUUUUUGGCUUCUUCUUUUUUUGAAAGCAAACGGUAACCUCUAUUUUCCUUUUUUCUUUUUCAAUUUUCGGGUACAAGACCAUUAAUGGCCUUUGUCUUCACUAAGAUUUCAAAUUUUCUCCAAAAAUUGAGUUGAAAUCCACAUUUCGGGUCCGUCCCACAUCGACCCAAGUUCUCAAAACCCUGCUGUUUGGAGUUCUAUUUAUAGAACCCCAUAUCCAACUUCCAGACCACGUUUUGAUACCCCUAAAAUCCCUAAUUUAUCAAUUACACAACUUCUAAGUUGAAAGUUCAAUAUUUUAGUUUUAGUUCUCUAAGUUUGGUGGUGAAAUAGAUUCGCAACUCGACGCUGCACCCGUUCGCUGACCUACAACAAGUUUAUAUAAUUGAGAAGAGCUUUGGAAGAAACCAAGUGAAAAACAAGUCAAACAGAGGCCAAAUUGAAGAGAUGACAAAAAAACUAUACAGUUUUGCAAAAACUGUACAAAACUGUCCAGUUUUGCAAAUUCUAAAAUCUGAAAAUAUGGAGGCUGUUUUUUGUCAUAUUUUGAUGGGGAAAAUUUUUGAACUAUAAAAGCAAGACUUGGGCAAAAUAUCUAUCAUCUUUGGCCACAUUUAGCUUGGAAGCUAGGGUUCAUCAUCAACCACACCAUUGGAAGAGAAGAUUGAAGUGCUUCAAUGAGAAAACUCUUAACCCUUUCUUCAAUUCCUUAUUAGAUUGCAUAUUUAAGUGUGUUGGAUUUUAUUCUCUCACUUGAAUAUUGUUUAUGAGAAUAUUCAUUAUCAAGUUUUGGAUGAAACUCUUGUUAUGCCUAUGUAUUGAAUGAUGUUUAUCUCUAAUGAAGUGGGUCAUUGUUUCUUUAAU